Molecule: long non-coding RNA, 707 nt
Organism: Anthonomus grandis grandis
Lineage: Eukaryota; Metazoa; Arthropoda; Insecta; Coleoptera; Curculionidae
Exons: 2
Source: RefSeq, a predicted model, not a curated record
UCGGAGGCGUUCGCGGGUCGAUUGUGCGAGCGAGACAGAGAUAAACUUCCGGAAUAAUCCGCGCUAAAUUUAAAAUGUUGUUUGUUGUUUCGAUGCCAGUUUCGCGAAUAUUCUGUGGUUUAUUGUGAAAAUUAUUUUUGAAAUGGGUUGUUUAUGGGGUUUUGGGUUAUUUGAUCAUACAAUAUUGGAAAAUGUUGGUAAUUUCGUGUUGUUUGAUUCAUACAUAAUUCGUGAAUAAAUUGCAACCAAAAAUGGUCACGAAAUGUGUUCUAUCAUAAAUGUUAUAGUUGCAUUUUAAAUCAAAUCCAUAUACCUAUAAACAUUGUUUUAGCAUUUACUGCUAUUUACUAGCUAAAACAUCACUAUUUCUUUACGGCUCUUUAUUUUAUUUAGUUUCUAUUGUUGUAUUGCCUUCUCUAAACGUCUAAAUUAAAACUUGAUUCUCACAGGCAUUUUUUCCCAAUAAAAUUUAUAUAAUUCAAAUCGAAAUGUCGGGUUCAACAUUCUAGAAUAUCCUCGAUGAAUCAAGAGAAUCAAUGAAAAAAUCUCGAAUACGACUAAGCGCAUUUCCAUGGCACUCUUGGGCUAAAUUUAAAAUAAAAACAAAAAAAAUAUAACCUCAAAAUGGUGUCUUGAGGUGUGCCGAUGUAUUAAAUCCUAACAGUUCUUGUUGUAUUAUUGUAUUAUGAAUAAAACUUCACAAGGAA